Molecule: long non-coding RNA, 476 nt
Filed under: Brassica rapa (field mustard)
Lineage: Eukaryota; Viridiplantae; Streptophyta; Magnoliopsida; Brassicales; Brassicaceae
Description: long non-coding RNA (BRAP_LNC000549)
Source: RNAcentral
GCUGGCGCACGUGUGAUCGUGACUGAGAUCGAUCCAAUCUGUGCCCUUCAGGCUCUCAUGGAAGGCCUUCAAGUUCUAACCCUUGAGGACGUCGUCUCUGAAGCUGACAUCUUUUGCACCACCACUGGAAACAAAGACAUCAUCAUGGUCGACCACAUGAGGAAGAUGAAGAACAACGCCAUUGUCUGCAACAUUGGUCACUUUGACAAUGAAAUCGACAUGCAAGGGCUUGAGACUUACCCUGGUGUGAAACGCAUCACCAUCAAGCCACAGACUGAUAGGUGGGUGUUCCCUGACACCAAGUCUGGCAUCAUUGUGUUAGCCGAGGGUCGUCUGAUGAACUUGGGAUGUGCCACUGGACACCCGAGUUUCGUGAUGUCUUGCUCGUUCACCAACCAGGUGAUUGCACAGCUUGAGCUCUGGAACGAGAAGUCAAGUGGGAAGUAUGAGAAGAAGGUAUAUGUUUUGCCUAAACA